GGUUGGAGCCACAAGAUCAAAUCCUGGCUCAUGGAAUAUGGUCAGAAGUGAUGAUGCCAAUUCUGGGCCUGGCCCAUAAAACCUCCCAUCUAAUCUUUGCUCUUUCUUCAUCUGCUGGCCAAAUGAAGAUUUUAAGCAGAAUCACAGAAUGGGAAGAGCCUGGGUCCCUGAAUUACUAUAUGGAGCAGAACUCCUCCGCAAACCUACUUCUGACUGUGAUAAGAGCAAUGUAGUAAGUAUUGUGCUUAGCUAUUGCAGCAGCUAGCAUCAUUUAGUCUAACAGAGGUGGAAACGGGAUGAAGAGGAAAAAGGAAGAAAACAAUGAUGGGCAUAUAGUACGAAUGAUGUUAACUACUGGACUCCUAUGCUAUAUGCAUGUUGAGGCGAGUCAAAAGAGAAGAAGGAAGUAACUGAGGACAGCCCGGAGAAAAACCCUAGGAGGGAUAUGGGUGGCAUAAAGUUAAAAAAGAAAUGACUACUGAGUAGUAGAAGAAGUAAAGAUGGAAAGUAAUUUGGUCACCCAGGAAAAACUAGUAGAAAUAAACCAAGAGGUGGGAUAAAGGAAAAUUAGAUCAGGGAUGAAGAAUGGAACACAGCAGAAGCUUGCUUGAAAGAUGAGAAGAUGGAGAGAGAGAAAAGAAUCUUAAAAUAACUAUUAGCACCACUGAAAAUAAAAUAAAAAGAUAGCAGAAGGGUGUUUAGUAAGAAUAAUUUUGGUAUGGUUUUCAAAUUGAAUAUUAUUAUUUCAAAGAAGAAGGGGGAAAACAUUUUUUUUGAGACAGGGUCUAGCUCUGUCACCAAG
Nomascus leucogenys (northern white-cheeked gibbon) is the source of this 802-nucleotide long non-coding RNA. RefSeq lists it as uncharacterized. Lineage: Eukaryota; Metazoa; Chordata; Mammalia; Primates; Hylobatidae. The transcript is spliced from 3 exons. The record is from RefSeq and is a predicted model, not a curated record.